UAAGCAUCUGCGUUAGCCGGAAGGUGAG
RNAcentral lists this small RNA (28 nucleotides) under Bombyx mori (domestic silkworm). RNAcentral's name for it is "ovarian small RNA-19250". The record is from RNAcentral. Lineage: Eukaryota; Metazoa; Arthropoda; Insecta; Lepidoptera; Bombycidae.